UUGGAGGGCAAGUCUGGUGCCAGCAGCCGCGGUAAUUCCAGCUCCAAUAGCGUAUAUUAAAGUUGUUGCAGUUAAAAAGCUCGUAGUUGAAUUUCGGGACCAUCAUGUCGGUCGUGCCUCGGUACGUACUGGCAUUGUUGGUUUCUCCCUUCUGACGAACCAUGAUGUCAUUUAUUUGGUGUUGUGGGGAAUCAGGACUGUUACUUUGAAAAAAUUAGAGUGUUUAAAGCAGGCUCACGCUUGAAUACAUUAGCAUGGAAUAAUGAAAUAGGACGUUUGAUUCUAUUUUGUUGGUUUCUAGGAUCGACGUAAUGAUUAAUAGGGAUAGUUGGGGGCAUUAGUAUUCAAUUGUCAGAGGUGAAAUUCUUGGAUUUAUUGAAGACUAACUACUGCGAAAGCAUUUGCCAAGGAUGUUUUCAUUAAUCAAGAACGAAAGUUAGGGGAUCGAAGACGAUCAGAUACCGUCGUAGUCUUAACCAUAAACUAUGCCGACUAGGGAUCGGAUGAUGUUAAUUUUUUAAUGACUCAUUCGGCGCCUUACGGGAAAC
RNAcentral lists this ribosomal RNA (548 nucleotides) under uncultured Glomeromycotina. RNAcentral describes it as "SSU rRNA". It matches the Rfam family "Eukaryotic small subunit ribosomal RNA", at positions 548 to 1098 of the family's 1831-position model. The record is from RNAcentral. Lineage: Eukaryota; Fungi; Glomeromycota.